CCUGCUCUAAUCUCAUCAGAUCUCAGAAGCUAAGCAAGACUGGGCCUGGUUAGGACUUGGAUGGGAGACCGCUGGGAAAAUCGGGU
Molecule: ribosomal RNA, 86 nt
Filed under: Periophthalmus magnuspinnatus
Lineage: Eukaryota; Metazoa; Chordata; Actinopteri; Gobiiformes; Gobiidae
Source: RNAcentral